RNAcentral lists this ribosomal RNA (253 nucleotides) under uncultured bacterium. RNAcentral's name for it is "partial 16S ribosomal RNA". It matches the Rfam family "Bacterial small subunit ribosomal RNA", at positions 524 to 776 of the family's 1533-position model. The record is from RNAcentral.
UACAGAGGGUGCUAGCGUUGUUCGGAAUCAUUGGGCGUAAAGGGCGUGUAGGCGGUUUGUUAAGUCAUGUGUGAAAUCCCUCGGCUCAACCGGGGAACGACGCAUGAAACUGGCAAGCUAGAGUACCAAAGAGGGGGGUGGAAUUCCCGGUGUAGCGGUGAAAUGCGUAGAUAUCGGCAGGAACACCCAGGGGGAAACCAGCGGACUGGCUCGCAGCUGACACUGAGGUGCGACAGCGUGGGGAGCGAACGGG